CACAUUGAUGGGUUUCUGUCUGAUAUAUGGACAAAAACUUUGAGACAGAUGCAAAAAAAAAAUUAUCUUUUGCAAUCCAAAACUCAUACGUACAGUACUCUGUAUGAGUUCUGAUACAGAAGAGAAAAACAUG
This is a small nucleolar RNA of Sorex fumeus (smoky shrew), 133 nucleotides long. RefSeq annotates it as small nucleolar RNA SNORA40. The transcript has a single exon. Lineage: Eukaryota; Metazoa; Chordata; Mammalia; Eulipotyphla; Soricidae. The record is from RefSeq and is a predicted model, not a curated record.